Molecule: long non-coding RNA, 693 nt
Organism: Brassica napus (rape)
Lineage: Eukaryota; Viridiplantae; Streptophyta; Magnoliopsida; Brassicales; Brassicaceae
Exons: 3
Source: RefSeq, a predicted model, not a curated record
UUUAUUGUCUUUAUCUCCUUCUCUCCUACCCUCAAACCACCACAAAUCUCUCUUAAGCCACCACGAUUCUAUCUCUUAAUCCACCACGAAUCUCUCCUUCCAUCUCAAACCACCACAAAUCUGUGUAAGCCACCACGAUUCCAUCUCAUACCAUCACAAAUCUCUCCGACCUUCUCCACCGCCACCAAUUAGGUUACAGAGUUCUCUGUCCUUACAGAUCCACAAAGAUUUGAAGCCUUACAGAUCUCAAAGAUAUCUCAAUUUCCAGCAACUCUAAUGGAAGCAAGGAAGGUCAUCGUCUGUGCACUCCCGGCAGCCGGAGUGAAACCACAACUCAAACCAGAACAGACACAACAAGAAGCAGUCAACACAGCUCCACCACAACGAGGACAGUCCUCACGAGGAAAUGAUGUAGAUGAGAUAACCAGAGCCGAGUUCAGAAGCUACCGAUUGAUACGCAUUGAGGAACCUGAAGAAGACAUCGACCCAGACUACCUGCGCUAUCUCCGAGCAAUAGGUGCCUACGACUCUGCUUCACCACAACAAGGACGGUCCUCAGGAGGCAAUGGUCGUCGCUAAAACAUCGACCCAAUCUUCCUGCAACUCACAAUCCAUGGGUUCUCGUCACUACUAUAAUUACCAUUGCUUCAGUAUGUUGUAUUUGCUUAAGUAUGUUUUGUUAAUUUGCUUCAG